Molecule: long non-coding RNA, 534 nt
Filed under: Homo sapiens (human)
Lineage: Eukaryota; Metazoa; Chordata; Mammalia; Primates; Hominidae
Description: non-protein coding lnc-BAD-1:2
Source: RNAcentral
AACUAGGGCCCGGAGCCCGGGGUGCUGGAGGGAGGCGGCAGGCCCGGGUCAGGGGCCUCGAGAUCGGGCUUGGGCCCAGAGCAUGUUCCAGAUCCCAGAGUUUGAGCCGAGUGGAGAACUUCGUAUUCUCCUUCUUGGGAAUCUGAGGACUCUGAAAAUCCCAGUGCAGGGAUGCUCGCGGAAGCAUCAGCAGGGAUGUCCGCCCCAGCCGCUGACUCAGAAGCCCAACACGCAGAGAAUGUAAAGCUAGAGGUGCCAUGCUGGGGCCUGGGGCACUUCUAGCCACAGCCACUACCCUCCACUUCCACACCCAGCUCCGGGCCAGGCUCUAGGCGGAUGGCAAGAGUGGGCAGGCCUGGGCACCCACCCACGUUCACACCCAAGGAGGAGCCACACCCCUUCCCUUCCCCAGAGAAGGGAGAGUCUGGCCCAGGCCCUGCCCCAGCCCUCUCCUUCCCCCAGGGAAUUCACAGACACUCCCCCAGGGUUUUUCCCUGUAAAUAGAACACUUUUUAAAAAUUCAAUUUAGGGCUG